CCUGGUGCUGAUGCUGCAGCCUCAGCAAGUUCUCCUUGGCAGGAAGAAGAGGAGCUGACUGCUGGAGUGGCUUCAGGGGAAGCACAGGAAGGGAGAGUCCACUGAGGAUGGGGCUGAGAGCCUUAGGAAGAAAGCGGUCUGACCGUGGAUGCACUGCUCAGCUGGACCACAUCUCGUUUGAGUUUGUGGGUUCCCUUAGCCUGCUGAACAUCCAUAUCUUCUCUACGGAACAUGUACACAGGGCGUGCAGAGAGUGAAGAAGUGUGCCCUUAGUGGUUCCCGCUUGAUCAGAUUCCCUUUGCUGACAUGUGACCUAAUGACGGCUACUGGUUCCUACUCCUGCUUCAGAAGAAGUUGUUCCAAGGGCACUUCAAGUUCCAGGAUCAGGACCUCAUCCUCGACUACUCCCUGUGUGAGGUGGAUGAAUUCUAA
Molecule: long non-coding RNA, 432 nt
Filed under: Mus musculus (house mouse)
Lineage: Eukaryota; Metazoa; Chordata; Mammalia; Rodentia; Muridae
Description: long non-coding RNA chr6:65128570-65129002
Source: RNAcentral